GACGAACGCUGGCGGCGUGCUUAACACAUGCAAGUCGAACGGAAAGGCCCUGCUUUUGUGGGGUGCUCGAGUGGCGAACGGGUGAGUAACACGUGAGUAACCUGCCCUUGACUUUGGGAUAACUUCAGGAAACUGGGGCUAAUACCGGAUAGGAGCUCCUGCUGCAUGGUGGGGGUUGGAAAGUUUCGGCGGUUGGGGAUGGACUCGCGGCUUAUCAGCUUGUUGGUGGGGUAGUGGCUUACCAAGGCUUUGACGGGUAGCCGGCCUGAGAGGGUGACCGGCCACAUUGGGACUGAGAGACGGCCCAGACGCCUACGGGAGGCAGCAGUGGGGAAUAUUGCACAAUGGGGGGAAGCCUGAUGCAGCAACGCCGCGUGCGGGAUGACGGCCUUCGGGUUGUAAACCGAUUUCGCCUGUGACGAAGCGGGAGUGACGGUAAUGGGUAAAGAAGCACCGGCUAACUACGUG
RNAcentral lists this ribosomal RNA (468 nucleotides) under uncultured bacterium. Its description in RNAcentral is "partial 16S ribosomal RNA". It matches the Rfam family "Bacterial small subunit ribosomal RNA", at positions 28 to 507 of the family's 1533-position model. The record is from RNAcentral.